RNAcentral lists this ribosomal RNA (253 nucleotides) under uncultured bacterium. RNAcentral describes it as "partial 16S ribosomal RNA". It matches the Rfam family "Bacterial small subunit ribosomal RNA", at positions 524 to 776 of the family's 1533-position model. The record is from RNAcentral.
UACGUAGGGGGCAAGCGUUGUCCGGAUUUAUUGGGCGUAAAGAGUGUGUAGGCGGCCUGAAAGGUCAGCUGUGAAAACUCGAGGCUCAACCUCGAGACGUCGGUUGAAACCAUCUGGCUAGAGUCCGGAAGAGGAGUGUGGAAUUCCCGGUGUAGCGGUGAAAUGCGCAGAUAUCGGGAAGAACACCCGUGGCGAAGGCGGCACUCUGGGACGGUACUGACGCUGAGACGCGAAAGCGUGGGGAGCGAACAGG